This 398-nucleotide small RNA is filed under the name Histoplasma capsulatum var. duboisii H88. RNAcentral's name for it is "Histoplasma capsulatum H88 hypothetical RNA". The record is from RNAcentral. Lineage: Eukaryota; Fungi; Ascomycota; Eurotiomycetes; Onygenales; Ajellomycetaceae.
CAUGCUAUUGUCUAUGUCACCGGCACCGGAGGCCGCACGGUGAUAAGCAUCGUUUGACGAUGAACCGAAAUCCCAAGUCCGUUCCCAGCGUGUCAAUUCAAACGAAGAAGGAUGCCGAUCCAUGCUCCCUCUCUCUCUCUCCUGAUUGUCCACUGCCGUUUCGUUGUCUUGGGACAACAAAGCUCAAAAGCUUAUCUUCAAAGAGUGCAACGUGAACCGCUGUAAUGAAAAAGAAAAGAAAAGAAAAGAAAAGAAAAGAAAAGAAAAAAUGAUGCUCGCUCUUUAAACGGCUCCUGUACGCCAUUCCUUCGAACAAUGCACAGCGCUGGCCUUGUGGCAGACAAGCUGGACACGCCUAUUCUCACCGCACUUGCAAGUAGCCAAGAGCGAACAUCCUG